RNAcentral lists this long non-coding RNA (647 nucleotides) under Hordeum vulgare. Its description in RNAcentral is "long non-coding RNA (HVUL_LNC010110)". Lineage: Eukaryota; Viridiplantae; Streptophyta; Magnoliopsida; Poales; Poaceae. The record is from RNAcentral.
GGUGACCUCUUCCGUCUAGGGUGCUCAAACACCCAAGAGUAACAUAAUCCACACAAGAACUUGGGGGAAUCAGUUUUCCUUUGAUGGAAGUGUAGAUCUGGGUCUCUUCCUUCCAUCCCUAGGAAGACAUCAUGUUUGGGUGGCUUGGGUGAGAGAUCGGGCAAGAAAGCUUCAGUGCAUCAAUGGAGGAGAGAGAGAGAGGUAAGAGAUAAAGGGGAGGAAGAAGAAAACCCCCCUUAUAUAGGCCCCAAAGAUUUCUAACCGUUAUAGCAAAAAUUGCAUUGGGCGGUACAACCGGUUGCCGGGCCGGUACAACCGGUCAACCAUCGCUCUACAACCGGGCCAAAACAUGCAGUUAGCCCACAGGUGUAACCAGCCAUGGCUGCUGGGCGUGGCUAAGUCCCAAGCGGUACAACUGCUUGGAACACCGGUAGUACUGACUAUAAUUAAUAUAGCGGUACAACCGGACCACCACCGCCUAACAACCGCAAUGAAUCAGAACCGUGUCUAGUGGUGGACCGGUGCAGGGCCGGUACAACCGCCCAGCAACUGAGCGGUACAACCGCCCAUAGCAUCGGUACAACCGGUCAGUAUAGAAGAACAAAUGGUACCUGCAUACUUGACACCCAAUUAGAUAACAUAGUGAG